GACGAACGCUGGCGGCGUGCUUAACACAUGCAAGUCGAACGGAAAGGCCCUGCUUUUGUGGGGUGCUCGAGUGGCGAACGGGUGAGUAACACGUGAGUAACCUGCCCUUGACUUUGGGAUAACUUCAGGAAACUGGGGCUAAUACCGGAUAGGAGCUCCUGCUGCAUGGUGGGGUUUGGAAAGUUUCGGCGGUUGGGGAUGGACUCGCGGCUUAUCAGCUUGUUGGUGGGGUAGUGGCUUACCAAGGCUUUGACGGGUAGCCGGUCUGAGAGGGUGACCGGCCACAUUGGGACUGAGAUACGGCCCAGACUCCUACGGGAGGCAGCAGUGGGGAAUAUUGCACAAUGGGCGGAAGCCUGAUGCAGCAACGCCGCGUGCGGGAUGACGGCCUUCGGGUUGUAAACCGCUUUCGCCUGUGACGAAGCGUGAGUGACGGUAAUGGGUAAAGAAGCACCGGCUAACUACGUG
Molecule: ribosomal RNA, 468 nt
Filed under: uncultured bacterium
Lineage: Bacteria
Description: partial 16S ribosomal RNA
Rfam family: Bacterial small subunit ribosomal RNA
Source: RNAcentral